This 450-nucleotide ribosomal RNA is filed under the name uncultured bacterium. RNAcentral describes it as "partial 16S ribosomal RNA". It matches the Rfam family "Bacterial small subunit ribosomal RNA", at positions 354 to 796 of the family's 1533-position model. The record is from RNAcentral.
GUGGGGAAUAUUGGACAAUGGGGGGAACCCUGAUCCAGCCAUGCCGCGUGUGUGAAGAAGGCCUUUUGGUUGUAAAGCACUUUAAGCGAGGAGGAGGCUACCGAGAUUAAUACUCUUGGAUAGUGGACGUUACUCGCAGAAUAAGCACCGGCUAACUCUGUGCCAGCAGCCGCGGUAAUACAGAGGGUGCAAGCGUUAAUCGGAUUUACUGGGCGUAAAGCGCGCGUAGGUGGCCAAUUAAGUCAAAUGUGAAAUCCCCGAGCUUAACUUGGGAAUUGCAUUCGAUACUGGUUGGCUAGAGUAUGGGAGAGGAUGGUAGAAUUCCAGGUGUAGCGGUGAAAUGCGUAGAGAUCUGGAGGAAUACCGAUGGCGAAGGCAGCCAUCUGGCCUAAUACUGACACUGAGGUGCGAAAGCAUGGGGAGCAAACAGGAUUAGAUACCCCAUAGUCC